RNAcentral lists this ribosomal RNA (254 nucleotides) under uncultured bacterium. Its description in RNAcentral is "partial 16S ribosomal RNA". It matches the Rfam family "Bacterial small subunit ribosomal RNA", at positions 524 to 776 of the family's 1533-position model. The record is from RNAcentral.
UACGUAGGGAGCGAGCGUUGUCCGGAUUCAUUGGGCGUAAAGAGCUCGUAGGCGGCUUGGCAAGUCGGGUGUGAAAACUCCAGGCUCAACCUGGAGACGCCACCCGAUACUGCCAUGGCUAGAGUCCGGUAGGGGACCACGGAAUUCCUGGUGUAGCGGUGAAAUGCGCAGAUAUCAGGAGGAACACCGGUGGCGAAGGCGGUUCUCUGGGAAUGACCUGACGCUGAGGAGCGAAAGUGUGGGGAGCGAACAGG